RNAcentral lists this ribosomal RNA (301 nucleotides) under uncultured bacterium. RNAcentral's name for it is "partial 16S ribosomal RNA". It matches the Rfam family "Bacterial small subunit ribosomal RNA", at positions 509 to 807 of the family's 1533-position model. The record is from RNAcentral.
CAGCAGCCGCGGUAAAACGGAGGGGGCUAGCGUUGUUCGGAAUUACUGGGCGUAAAGCGCACGUAGGCGGCUUGGUAAGUUAGAGGUGAAAGCCUGGAGCUCAACUCCAGAAUUGCCUUUAAGACUGCCGAGCUAGCAGGUGAGAGAGGUAAGUGGAAUUCCGAGUGUAGAGGUGAAAUUCGUAGAUAUUCGGAAGAACACCAGUGGCGAAGGCGGCUUACUGGCUCAUACUGGACGCUGAGGUGCGAAAGCGUGGGGAGCAAACAGGAUUAGAUACCCCAGUAGUCCCUGUCUCUUAUAC